Molecule: ribosomal RNA, 274 nt
Filed under: uncultured bacterium
Lineage: Bacteria
Description: partial 16S ribosomal RNA
Rfam family: Archaeal small subunit ribosomal RNA
Source: RNAcentral
AAACCAGCACCUCAAGUGGUCAGGAGGUUUAUUGGGCCUAAAGCAUCCGUAGCCUGAUCUAUAAGUUUCCGGUUAAAUCCAAAUGCUCAACAUUUGGGCUGCCGGAAAAACUGUAGAUCUAGGGAGUGGGAGAGGUAGACGGUACUCGGUAGGAAGGGGUAAAAUCCUUUGAUCUAUUGAUGACCACCAGUGGCGGAGGCGGUCUACCAGAACACGUUCGACGGUGAGGGAUGAAAGCUGGGGGAGCAAACCGGAUUAGAAACCCGGGUAGUCC